AGUGAACGCUGGCGGUAGGCCUAACACAUGCAAGUCGAACGGCAGCACAGUAAGAGCUUGCUCUUACGGGUGGCGAGUGGCGGACGGGUGAGGAAUACAUCGGAAUCUACUUUUUCGUGGGGGAUAACGUAGGGAAACUUACGCUAAUACCGCAUACGACCUACGGGUGAAAGCAGGGGAUCUUCGGACCUUGCGCGAUUGAAUGAGCCGAUGUCGGAUUAGCUAGUUGGCGGGGUAAAGGCCCACCAAGGCGACGAUCCGUAGCUGGUCUGAGAGGAUGAUAGACCACACUGGAAAUGAGAAACGGUCCAAACCCCCAGGGGGGGCAGCAGGGGGGAAUAUUGGAAAAGGGGGCAAAUCCUGACCCAGCCAUACCGGGGGGGGGAAGAAGGCCUUCGGGUUGUAAAGCCCUUUUUUUGGGAAAAAAAAGCAGCAGGUUAAUCCCCCGCUGUUUUGGCGGUACCAAAAAAAAAAGCACCGGCUAAUUUCGG
RNAcentral lists this ribosomal RNA (491 nucleotides) under uncultured bacterium. Its description in RNAcentral is "partial 16S ribosomal RNA". It matches the Rfam family "Bacterial small subunit ribosomal RNA", at positions 29 to 506 of the family's 1533-position model. The record is from RNAcentral.